GACAAUUUUCAGUCCAACGUGGCCCCAAG
This 29-nucleotide non-coding RNA is filed under the name Rattus norvegicus (Norway rat). The record is from RNAcentral. Lineage: Eukaryota; Metazoa; Chordata; Mammalia; Rodentia; Muridae.